This 2612-nucleotide ribosomal RNA is filed under the name Escherichia coli. Its description in RNAcentral is "partial 23S ribosomal RNA". It matches the Rfam family "Bacterial large subunit ribosomal RNA". Lineage: Bacteria; Pseudomonadati; Pseudomonadota; Gammaproteobacteria; Enterobacterales; Enterobacteriaceae. The record is from RNAcentral.
GUUAAGCGACUAAGCGUACACGGUGGAUGCCCUGGCAGUCAGAGGCGAUGAAGGACGUGCUAAUCUGCGAUAAGCGUCGGUAAGGUGAUAUGAACCGUUAUAACCGGCGAUUUCCGAAUGGGGAAACCCAGUGUGAUUCGUCACACUAUCAUUAACUGAAUCCAUAGGUUAAUGAGGCGAACCGGGGGAACUGAAACAUCUAAGUACCCCGAGGAAAAGAAAUCAACCGAGAUUCCCCCAGUAGCGGCGAGCGAACGGGGAGCAGCCCAGAGCCUGAAUCAGUGUGUGUGUUAGUGGAAGCGUCUGGAAAGGCGUGCGAUACAGGGUGACAGCCCCGUACACAAAAAUGCACAUGCUGUGAGCUCGAUGAGUAGGGCGGGACACGUGGUAUCCUGUCUGAAUAUGGGGGGACCAUCCUCCAAGGCUAAAUACUCCUGACUGACCGAUAGUGAACCAGUACCGUGAGGGAAAGGCGAAAAGAACCCCGGCGAGGGGAGUGAAAAAGAACCUGAAACCGUGUACGUACAAGCAGUGGGAGCACGCUUAGGCGUGUGACUGCGUACCUUUUGUAUAAUGGGUCAGCGACUUAUAUUCUGUAGCAAGGUUAACCGAAUAGGGGAGCCGAAGGGAAACCGAGUCUUAACUGGGCGUUAAGUUGCAGGGUAUAGACCCGAAACCCGGUGAUCUAGCCAUGGGCAGGUUGAAGGUUGGGUAACACUAACUGGAGGACCGAACCGACUAAUGUUGAAAAAUUAGCGGAUGACUUGUGGCUGGGGGUGAAAGGCCAAUCAAACCGGGAGAUAGCUGGUUCUCCCCGAAAGCUAUUUAGGUAGCGCCUCGUGAAUUCAUCUCCGGGGGUAGAGCACUGUUUCGGCAAGGGGGUCAUCCCGACUUACCAACCCGAUGCAAACUGCGAAUACCGGAGAAUGUUAUCACGGGAGACACACGGCGGGUGCUAACGUCCGUCGUGAAGAGGGAAACAACCCAGACCGCCAGCUAAGGUCCCAAAGUCAUGGUUAAGUGGGAAACGAUGUGGGAAGGCCCAGACAGCCAGGAUGUUGGCUUAGAAGCAGCCAUCAUUUAAAGAAAGCGUAAUAGCUCACUGGUCGAGUCGGCCUGCGCGGAAGAUGUAACGGGGCUAAACCAUGCACCGAAGCUGCGGCAGCGACACUGUGUGUUGUUGGGUAGGGGAGCGUUCUGUAAGCCUGCGAAGGUGUGCUGUGAGGCAUGCUGGAGGUAUCAGAAGUGCGAAUGCUGACAUAAGUAACGAUAAAGCGGGUGAAAAGCCCGCUCGCCGGAAGACCAAGGGUUCCUGUCCAACGUUAAUCGGGGCAGGGUGAGUCGACCCCUAAGGCGAGGCCGAAAGGCGUAGUCGAUGGGAAACAGGUUAAUAUUCCUGUACUUGGUGUUACUGCGAAGGGGGGACGGAGAAGGCUAUGUUGGCCGGGCGACGGUUGUCCCGGUUUAAGCGUGUAGGCUGGUUUUCCAGGCAAAUCCGGAAAAUCAAGGCUGAGGCGUGAUGACGAGGCACUACGGUGCUGAAGCAACAAAUGCCCUGCUUCCAGGAAAAGCCUCUAAGCAUCAGGUAACAUCAAAUCGUACCCCAAACCGACACAGGUGGUCAGGUAGAGAAUACCAAGGCGCUUGAGAGAACUCGGGUGAAGGAACUAGGCAAAAUGGUGCCGUAACUUCGGGAGAAGGCACGCUGAUAUGUAGGUGAAGUCCCUCGCGGAUGGAGCUGAAAUCAGUCGAAGAUACCAGCUGGCUGCAACUGUUUAUUAAAAACACAGCACUGUGCAAACACGAAAGUGGACGUAUACGGUGUGACGCCUGCCCGGUGCCGGAAGGUUAAUUGAUGGGGUCAGCGCAAGCGAAGCUCUUGAUCGAAGCCCCGGUAAACGGCGGCCGUAACUAUAACGGUCCUAAGGUAGCGAAAUUCCUUGUCGGGUAAGUUCCGACCUGCACGAAUGGCGUAAUGAUGGCCAGGCUGUCUCCACCCGAGACUCAGUGAAAUUGAACUCGCUGUGAAGAUGCAGUGUACCCGCGGCAAGACGGAAAGACCCCGUGAACCUUUACUAUAGCUUGACACUGAACAUUGAGCCUUGAUGUGUAGGAUAGGUGGGAGGCUUUGAAGUGUGGACGCCAGUCUGCAUGGAGCCGGCCUUGAAAUACCACCCUUUAAUGUUUGAUGUUCUAACGUUGACCCGUGAUCCGGGUUGCGGACAGUGUCUGGUGGGUAGUUUGACUGGGGCGGUCUCCUCCUAAAGAGUAACGGAGGAGCACGAAGGUUGGCUAAUCCUGGUCGGACAUCAGGAGGUUAGUGCAAUGGCAUAAGCCAGCUUGACUGCGAGCGUGACGGCGCGAGCAGGUGCGAAAGCAGGUCAUAGUGAUCCGGUGGUUCUGAAUGGAAGGGCCAUCGCUCAACGGAUAAAAGGUACUCCGGGGAUAACAGGCUGAUACCGCCCAAGAGUUCAUAUCGACGGCGGUGUUUGGCACCUCGAUGUCGGCUCAUCACAUCCUGGGGCUGAAGUAGGUCCCAAGGGUAUGGCUGUUCGCCAUUUAAAGUGGUACGCGAGCUGGGUUUAGAACGUCGUGAGACAGUUCGGUCCCUA